CGUGCCUAAUACAUGCAAGUCGAGCGGAAUGAUGGGAGCUUGCUCCCUGAUUUUAGCGGCGGACGGGUGAGUAACACGUGGGCAACCUACCUUGUAGAUUGGGAUAACUCCGGGAAACCGGGGCUAAUACCGAAUAAUCCAUUUUGCUUCAUGGCAAAAUGUUAAAAGGCGGCUUCGGCUGUCACUACGAGAUGGGCCCGCGGCGCAUUAGCUAGUUGGUAGGGUAACGGCCUACCAAGGCAACGAUGCGUAGCCGACCUGAGAGGGUGAUCGGCCACACUGGGACUGAGACACGGCCCAGACUCCUACGGGAGGCAGCAGUAGGGAAUCUUCCACAAUGGACGAAAGUCUGAUGGAGCAACGCCGCGUGAGUGAAGAAGGUUUUCGGAUCGUAAAACUCUGUUGUAAGGGAAGAACACGUACGAGAGUA
This 430-nucleotide ribosomal RNA is filed under the name Sporosarcina sp. 062-4.1-LH-A-13. RNAcentral's name for it is "bacterial SSU rRNA". It matches the Rfam family "Bacterial small subunit ribosomal RNA", at positions 43 to 463 of the family's 1533-position model. The record is from RNAcentral. Lineage: Bacteria; Bacillati; Bacillota; Bacilli; Caryophanales; Caryophanaceae.